UUCUGGUUGAUCCUGCCAGAGGUUACUGCUAUCGGUGUUCGCCUAAGCCAUGCGAGUCAUAUGUUCUUCGUGAACAUGGCGUACUGCUCAGUAACACGUGGAUAACCUGCCCUUGGGUCCGGCAUAACCCCGGGAAACUGGGGAUAAUUCCGGAUAACGCAUAUAUGCUGGAAUGCUUUAUGCGUCAAAUGGAUUCGUCUGCCCAAGGAUGGGUCUGCGGCCUAUCAGGUAGUAGUGGGUGUAAUGUACCUACUAGCCUACAACGGGUACGGGUUGUGAGAGCAAGAGCCCGGAGAUGGAUUCUGAGACAUGAAUCCAGGCCCUACGGGGCGCAGCAGGCGCGAAAACUUUACAAUGCGGGAAACCGUGAUAAGGGGACACCGAGUGCUAGCAUCAUAUGCUGGCUGUCCAGGUGUGUAAAAUACACUUGUUAGCAAGGGCCGGGCAAGACCGGUGCCAGCCGCCGCGGUAACACCGGCGGCCCGAGUGGUGAUCGUGAUUAUUGGGUCUAAAGGGUCCGUAGCCGGUUUGGUCAGUCCUCCGGGAAAUCUGAUAGCUUAACUAUUAGGCU
This 571-nucleotide ribosomal RNA is filed under the name unidentified archaeon. RNAcentral's name for it is "bacterial SSU rRNA". It matches the Rfam family "Archaeal small subunit ribosomal RNA", at positions 1 to 572 of the family's 1478-position model. The record is from RNAcentral.